UACGAAGGGUGCUAGCGUUGUUCGGAAUUAUUGGGCGUAAAGCGUGCGUAGGCGGUCUAGUAAGUCGAUUGUGAAAGCCCAGAGCUUAACUUUGGAAUUGCAAUCGAAACUACUAAACUAGAGUAUGGCGGGGGAUAGUGGAAUUCUUAGUGUAGGGGUGAAAUCCGUAGAUAUUAAGAGGAACACCAGUGGCGAAGGCGACUAUCUACACCAUUACUGACGCUGAGGUACGAAAGCGUGGGGAGCAAACAGG
Molecule: ribosomal RNA, 253 nt
Filed under: uncultured bacterium
Lineage: Bacteria
Description: partial 16S ribosomal RNA
Rfam family: Bacterial small subunit ribosomal RNA
Source: RNAcentral